Molecule: long non-coding RNA, 393 nt
Organism: Lycium ferocissimum
Lineage: Eukaryota; Viridiplantae; Streptophyta; Magnoliopsida; Solanales; Solanaceae
Exons: 2
Source: RefSeq, a predicted model, not a curated record
CCCAACCAAAAACUCAUCAGGCAAGUGUACCGUUUCAUUAGAGAUAGCCUGAAACCGAGCUCCAAAAUCCGACACAGUGGACAUCUAUACAAGCUUCGAAAGCCUGCCCUCUGGAGAAUGUAAAGACUGAUCCUGAAAUCGGAGACGAAGCUUCUCAGCAAACUGCAGCCAAUCAAAGAGCUGCUUUUGAUGAACCGACAAGAUAGAAUAAAACUCAAAAUAGCGCUCGGCCUGAAACAACCACGCCUCAGGAUUUUGACCAUUAAAACGAUUAAGUUCCACCACCGCUGGUUUGUGUUGGAUUGUCAUCGGAGCAGAAGAGUUAGAUCUCGGAGAUAAACAAACAUCGGCCGGCCGCGGGCGAAUAGGGUCAAUAGCAGCGGACUGAACAGC